RNAcentral lists this ribosomal RNA (499 nucleotides) under Citrobacter sp. RNAcentral describes it as "bacterial SSU rRNA". It matches the Rfam family "Bacterial small subunit ribosomal RNA", at positions 33 to 534 of the family's 1533-position model. The record is from RNAcentral. Lineage: Bacteria; Pseudomonadati; Pseudomonadota; Gammaproteobacteria; Enterobacterales; Enterobacteriaceae.
GACGCUGCUGUAGGAUGACACAUCAAGUAGUCGGUCGACAGAGAGCUUUUCUCGGGUGACGAGUGGCGGACGGGUGAGUAAUGUAUGGGAACUGCCCGUGGAGGGGGAUAACUACGGAAACGGUAGCUAAUACCGCAUAAUGUCGCAAGGCCAAAGCGGGGGACCUUCGGGCCUCUGCCAUCGGAUGGCCCAGAUGGGAUUAGCUAGUAGGUGGGGUAACGGCUCACCUAGGCGACGAUCCCUAGCUGGUCUGAGAGGAUGACCAGCCACACUGGAACUGAGACACGGUCCAGACUCCUACGGGAGGCAGCAGUGGGGAAUAUUGCACAAUGGGCGCAAGCCUGAUGCAGCCAUGCCGCGUGUAUGAAGAAGGCCUUCGGGUUGUAAAGUACUUUCAGCGAGGAGGAAGGCGUUGUGGUUAAUAACUGAGCAAUUGACGUUACUCGCAGAAGAAGCACCGGCUAACUCCGUGCCAGCAGCCGCGGUAAUACGGAAGGUG